GGUACUCCUCCACCCGCCUCCUUCCCAGGGUGGGUGACGUCAGGCAUUAUAUUUCCUUAAAUGGGAAUUUUGUCCGGCAAAAUGGAAUGUUCAGCGUAGUUUGAACUGGCGAAUGUUCCAAGUCGUUGGGUUCGUUCUAACUGCCCCCGCGAGCUGGACUAUAAAUAGUCCAGAAAUCUUUUUCAGCUCAGGUUAAUGUUCUUUCCCAGGAAGGCUAUACUCGUACCAACAUCGGUCAUACUGCCUACCCAGAUAAGAACCAGCAACUCUCCAACUAGAUUGAACUGGUGCUUGCUGGGAAUCCCAAACAGUGCAGAAGCAAAAUGUAACAUAACUUGAGACACCAUUUACAGCAACAUGCUCUCAACAUGUAAGAAGCAGAGCAGGAAAAUGCUGACUGGUUCGUGGUUAACAUCACUGUAAUGGCACCUGCCGUUGAAACCAAGAAAUCUACUGUCAUUGAUUACAAACGAGAAUGGGCAAGAACGCUCUGAAUGAACUUGAAUUGCUUGAAGUAAAGUCCAACAGGCUGCUGGAUGCUGUACCACUGUGGUCACAAUUUACCAGAAUAUCCAGAUACCCUCCAGCACAGGGAAAACUAGGGCAAAACAUUCCAUUUGGAAACAAAGGCAGUGGAGGUCAUCACUGACUACAAUAAACAGUUGGGAGAGAUGGAUAGAACACUAUCUUGAGUUGUACUCUACAGAGAACACUGUCACUGUAGAAGAUCCUAAACACCACACCUUGCCAUCAUGAGACAGCUAGUUAUCAAACUCAGUGAAGGAGUUUAGCAAAGCUGUUGACUAACUUGCCACUGGUGAAAUGCCAGGUGAGGCUAUACUGCCUGCAAUCAUCAAGCACCGGAAACUGGCACUCCUGCAGCAUUGCAUUAACUUCUCUGCCUCUGCUGAAGGGAGGGGGCAGUGCUUCAGGUUUAUUGUGUUGCAAAAGAUUGUGACCUAUCCCUUCUAUUAUCUUCAAGAUCUGUACCUCCUGUAAUAUGCUUUUCCUCAAUCAUGUCAUCUGUUUCUCCUACCCAUCUUGCAUUGCUACUUUUCUCAGUUGUUUAGCCAUUUAACCUUCAGCUAUUAAUGGAAAAUGCUGUUAAUAAAUUUAUCCAUUACUUUGAAAUUUC
Molecule: long non-coding RNA, 1135 nt
Organism: Carcharodon carcharias (great white shark)
Lineage: Eukaryota; Metazoa; Chordata; Chondrichthyes; Lamniformes; Lamnidae
Exons: 2
Source: RefSeq, a predicted model, not a curated record